GCGGAAGUAGCUCAGUGGUAGAGCAUCACCUUGCCAAGGUGGGGGUCGCGAGUUCGAAUCUCGUUUUCCGCUCCA
Molecule: transfer RNA, 75 nt
Filed under: Acidaminococcus fermentans
Lineage: Bacteria; Bacillati; Bacillota; Negativicutes; Acidaminococcales; Acidaminococcaceae
Also listed under: 16 other names
Description: tRNA-Gly
Rfam family: tRNA
About the family: Transfer RNA (tRNA) molecules are approximately 80 nucleotides in length. Their secondary structure includes four short double-helical elements and three loops (D, anti-codon, and T loops). Further hydrogen bonds mediate the characteristic L-shaped molecular structure. tRNAs have two regions of fundamental functional importance: the anti-codon, which is responsible for specific mRNA codon recognition, and the 3' end, to which the tRNAs corresponding amino acid is attached (by aminoacyl-tRNA synthetases). tRNAs cope with the degeneracy of the genetic code in two manners: having more than one tRNA (with a specific anti-codon) for a particular amino acid; and 'wobble' base-pairing, i.e. permitting non-standard base-pairing at the 3rd anti-codon position.
Source: RNAcentral